This 68-nucleotide ribosomal RNA is filed under the name Pseudomonas aeruginosa. Lineage: Bacteria; Pseudomonadati; Pseudomonadota; Gammaproteobacteria; Pseudomonadales; Pseudomonadaceae. The record is from RNAcentral. RNAcentral also lists the same sequence under 4 other names.
CCUGGCGGCGAUAGCGCGGUGGUCCCACCUGACCCCAUGCCGAACUCAGAAGUGAAACGCCGUAGCGC